RNAcentral lists this ribosomal RNA (29 nucleotides) under Epicoccum nigrum. Its description in RNAcentral is "partial 18S ribosomal RNA". Lineage: Eukaryota; Fungi; Ascomycota; Dothideomycetes; Pleosporales; Didymellaceae. The record is from RNAcentral.
GUCGGGCGGACCCGCCGAGGAAACUGAAG